RNAcentral lists this ribosomal RNA (119 nucleotides) under Triticum aestivum (bread wheat). Lineage: Eukaryota; Viridiplantae; Streptophyta; Magnoliopsida; Poales; Poaceae. The record is from RNAcentral. RNAcentral also lists the same sequence under 1 other name.
GGAUACGAUCAUACCAGCACUAAAGCACCGGAUCCCAUCAGAACUCCGAAGUUAAGCGUGCUUGGGCGAGAGUAGUACUAGGAUGGGUGACCUCCUGGGAAGUCCUCGUGUUGCAUUCC